This 70-nucleotide transfer RNA is filed under the name Hynobius chinensis (Chinese salamander). Its description in RNAcentral is "tRNA-Phe". It matches the Rfam family "tRNA". Rfam says of the family: Transfer RNA (tRNA) molecules are approximately 80 nucleotides in length. RNAcentral also lists the same sequence under 1 other name. Lineage: Eukaryota; Metazoa; Chordata; Amphibia; Caudata; Hynobiidae. The record is from RNAcentral.
GUUUAUGUAGCUUAAUUAAAGCAUAGCACUGAAGAUGCUAAGAUAGAUUUUAAUAUAUAUCUCAAAAACA